This is an unclassified non-coding RNA of Macaca fascicularis (crab-eating macaque), 159 nucleotides long. It matches the Rfam family "Metazoan signal recognition particle RNA". Rfam says of the family: The signal recognition particle (SRP) is a universally conserved ribonucleoprotein. It is involved in the co-translational targeting of proteins to membranes. The eukaryotic SRP consists of a 300-nucleotide 7S RNA and six proteins: SRPs 72, 68, 54, 19, 14, and 9. The record is from Ensembl. NCBI's taxonomy places the organism in Eukaryota, Metazoa, Chordata, Mammalia, Primates, Cercopithecidae.
GCCGGGCGAAGUGGCGGGCGCCUGUAGUCCCAGCUACUGGGGAGGCUGAGGCGGGAGAAUGGCUUGAACCCAGGAGGCGGAGGUUGCAGUGAGCCAAAAUCGAGCUAAGAUCCGGCCACUGCACUCCAGCCUGGGCAACAGAGUGAGACUCCGCCUCAA